This 254-nucleotide ribosomal RNA is filed under the name uncultured bacterium. RNAcentral describes it as "partial 16S ribosomal RNA". It matches the Rfam family "Bacterial small subunit ribosomal RNA", at positions 524 to 776 of the family's 1533-position model. The record is from RNAcentral.
GACGAGGGAUCCUAGCGUUGUUCGGAAUCAUUGGGCGUAAAGCGGGUGUAGGUGGUCUGAUAAGUCAGAUGUGAAAGCCCAGGCUUAACCCUGGAAGUGCAUGAUGAUGACUGUCAGGCUUGAGUGUGGGAGAGGAUAGCAGAAUUCCUGGUGUAGUGGUGAAAUACGUAGAUAUCAGGAGGAAUACCGGAGGCGAAGGCGGCUAUCUGGCCCAACACUGACACUGAGACCCGAAAGCGUGGGGAUCAAACAGG